AUUAUCUUGGCAGAUUAGUGUAAUAAAUUUAGAAUUUAUAAAAGUAUAUUUAAAUUAUAUAGGUAAUA
RNAcentral lists this transfer RNA (68 nucleotides) under Rediviva intermixta. RNAcentral's name for it is "tRNA-Leu". Lineage: Eukaryota; Metazoa; Arthropoda; Insecta; Hymenoptera; Melittidae. The record is from RNAcentral.